This 245-nucleotide ribosomal RNA is filed under the name uncultured bacterium. RNAcentral describes it as "partial 16S ribosomal RNA". It matches the Rfam family "Bacterial small subunit ribosomal RNA", at positions 532 to 776 of the family's 1533-position model. The record is from RNAcentral.
UCUCAAGCGUUGUUCGGAUUCAUUGGGCGUAAAGGGUGCGUAGGCGGCGCGGUAAGUCGGGGGUGAAAUCUCGGAGCUUAACUCCGAAACUGCAUUCGAUACUGCCGUGCUUGAGGACUGGAGAGGAGACUGGAAUUUACGGUGUAGCGGUGAAAUGCGUAGAUAUCGUAAGGAAGACCAGUGGCGAAGGCGGGUCUCUGGACAGUUCCUGACGCUGAUGCGCGAAAGCGUGGGGAGCAAACGGG